RNAcentral lists this ribosomal RNA (894 nucleotides) under uncultured Lycoperdon. RNAcentral describes it as "partial 18S ribosomal RNA". It matches the Rfam family "Eukaryotic large subunit ribosomal RNA", at positions 44 to 925 of the family's 3401-position model. The record is from RNAcentral. Lineage: Eukaryota; Fungi; Basidiomycota; Agaricomycetes; Agaricales; Lycoperdaceae.
CAAUAAGCGGAGGAAAAGAAACUAACAAGGAUUCCCCUAGUAACUGCGAGUGAAGCGGGAAAAGCUCAAAUUUAAAAUCUGGCGGUCUAUGGCUGUCCGAGUUGUAAUCUAGAGAAGUAAUGCCCGCGCUGGACCGUGUACAAGUCUCCUGGAAUGGAGCGUCAUAGAGGGUGAGAAUCCCGUCUUUGACACGGACUACCAGGGCUUUGUGGUAUGCUCUCAAAGAGUCGAGUUGUUUGGGAAUGCAGCUCUAAAUGGGUGGUAAAUUCCAUCUAAAGCUAAAUAUUGGCGAGAGACCGAUAGCGAACAAGUACCGUGAGGGAAAGAUGAAAAGAACUUUGGAAAGAGAGUUAAACAGUACGUGAAAUUGCUGAAAGGGAAACGCUUGAAGUCAGUCGCGUUGACUAGAACUCAGCUUCACUUUUGUGGGGUGUACUUUUUAGUUGACGGGUCAGCAUCAAUUCUGACUGCUGGAAAAAGGCUUAGGGAAUGUGGCAGCUCCGGCUGUGUUAUAGCCCUUUGUCACAUACAGCUGUUGGGAUUGAGGAACUCAGCACGCCGCAAGGCCGGGUUUCGACCACGUUCGUGCUUAGGAUGCUGGCAUAAUGGCUUUAAGCGACCCGUCUUGAAACACGGACCAAGGAGUCUAACAUGCCUGCGAGUGUUUGGGUGGUAAACCCGAGCGCGUAAUGAAAGUGAAAGUUGAGAUCCCUGUCGUGGGGAGCAUCGACGCCCGGACCUGACCUUUUGUGACGGAUCCGCGGUAGAGCAUGUAUGUUGGGACCCGAAAGAUGGUGAACUAUGCCUGAAUAGGGUGAAGCCAGAGGAAACUCUGGUGGAGGCUCGUAGCGAUUCUGACGUGCAAAUCGAUCGUCAAAUUUGGGUAUAGGGGCG